RNAcentral lists this ribosomal RNA (814 nucleotides) under Escherichia coli. Its description in RNAcentral is "partial 23S ribosomal RNA". It matches the Rfam family "Bacterial large subunit ribosomal RNA", at positions 1920 to 2733 of the family's 2925-position model. The record is from RNAcentral. Lineage: Bacteria; Pseudomonadati; Pseudomonadota; Gammaproteobacteria; Enterobacterales; Enterobacteriaceae.
CCGGUAAACGGCGGCCGUAACUAUAACGGUCCUAAGGUAGCGAAAUUCCUUGUCGGGUAAGUUCCGACCUGCACGAAUGGCGUAAUGAUGGCCAGGCUGUCUCCACCCGAGACUCAGUGAAAUUGAACUCGCUGUGAAGAUGCAGUGUACCCGCGGCAAGACGGAAAGACCCCGUGAACCUUUACUAUAGCUUGACACUGAACAUUGAGCCUUGAUGUGUAGGAUAGGUGGGAGGCUUUGAAGUGUGGACGCCAGUCUGCAUGGAGCCGACCUUGAAAUACCACCCUUUAAUGUUUGAUGUUCUAACGUUGGCCCCUGAUCGGGGUUGCGGACAGUGUCUGGUGGGUAGUUUGACUGGGGCGGUCUCCUCCUAAAGAGUAACGGAGGAGCACGAAGGUUGGCUAAUCCUGGUCGGACAUCAGGAGGUUAGUGCAAUGGCAUAAGCCAGCUUGACUGCGAGCGUGACGGCGCGAGCAGGUGCGAAAGCAGGUCAUAGUGAUCCGGUGGUUCUGAAUGGAAGGGCCAUCGCUCAACGGAUAAAAGGUACUCCGGGGAUAACAGGCUGAUACCGCCCAAGAGUUCAUAUCGACGGCGGUGUUUGGCACCUCGAUGUCGGCUCAUCACAUCCUGGGGCUGAAGUAGGUCCCAAGGGUAUGGCUGUUCGCCAUUUAAAGUGGUACGCGAGCUGGGUUUAGAACGUCGUGAGACAGUUCGGUCCCUAUCUGCCGUGGGCGCUGGAGAACUGAGGGGGGCUGCUCCUAGUACGAGAGGACCGGAGUGGACGCAUCACUGGUGUUCGGGUUGUCAUGCCAAU